AAGUGGGUGACGUUGAUCAAGGCACUGGGCUCACACGGGCCGCGCCCCGCGUGAUCUGUUGUCUCCAGGCAGACUGCCUCACUUGGGGCGAUUCUUUGAUCCCUACUUCCUAUAUGGCAAGCCAGGGACUGAAACUUACGAUUUGACUGGACAAUCUAUAAGGUGCUAGCUGCAUUCCUGGCCUGGGAGCAGGGAGCCUGUCUGACCCCUGUGUCACACUGGAUGGUUUUACAGAGGUGCCCCACCUGAUGCUGCAUGGAAGUCAUCACCCUACAGUGGUCCUUUCAUGACAGGCCGAAAGGUCACCAUAUGACAAACAGGACACAUCUGCCACAACUAGGAGGUGGGGCUGCUUCCCAAAGGACCCUGUGCCAGCCCAGUCUCUGUGGUGACUUGGUUCCAGGGGAGGCUGCACUUGACAGCACCUCCCUUAAAGAGGAGGCGUCAAUACAGAUGUAGGCCCGAAGAUGCUGUUGCAGUGUAUGUAAUAACAAAAGCUGGCUGUGACCGUAACACUCAGGGACCGAGGAUAGGGACCAGAGGCAGAUCACGGUCACAUAACAAGGCAGUAAAAAUGACAUUCAUGCAGAAUUUUAAUGAUGUAGGGGAACUGUGUGUGGUGUAAACGUGUGUAAAACUGAGGAUACGCAGUUAUAUGCAUGUAGAUAACUUCAACAAAGAGCAAUGAAGAAGCCCAACAGUAUGCCCUGCUCGAACUCCACGGGAUUGAAGCAUGGCCAGGAAGAAGACAGGAUGGGCUGGGAGAAAACAGGAGAGGUGGAGGAGAUGUCUGUCGGCAAAGUGCUCCCUGUGCAGGCCUGAGUUCAAUUCUCAGACCCCACAUGGAAAAGCCAGGCGUGAUAGCACGGGCUUGCAACUCCCGGCACAAAAGAGGUGGACAUGG
This 904-nucleotide long non-coding RNA is filed under the name Mus spretus (western wild mouse). Its description in RNAcentral is "lncRNA (ENSMSPG00010050616.1)". Lineage: Eukaryota; Metazoa; Chordata; Mammalia; Rodentia; Muridae. The record is from RNAcentral.